RNAcentral lists this ribosomal RNA (253 nucleotides) under uncultured bacterium. RNAcentral describes it as "partial 16S ribosomal RNA". It matches the Rfam family "Bacterial small subunit ribosomal RNA", at positions 524 to 776 of the family's 1533-position model. The record is from RNAcentral.
UACGUAGGCAGCAAGCGUUGUUCGGAAUUACUGGGCGUAAAGAGUGUGUAGGCGGUGCUCUAAGUUCGGUGUGAAAUCUCCCGGCUUAACUGGGAGGGUGCGCCGGAAACUGGAGUGCUUGAGCGCGGGAGAGGAAAGCGGAAUUCCUGGUGUAGCGGUGAAAUGCGUAGAUAUCAGGAGGAACACCUGUGGUGUAGACGGCCUUCUGGACCGUAGCUGACGCUGAGACACGAAAGCGUGGGUAGCAAACAGG